GCACAAGCGGUGGAGCAUGUGGUUAAUUCGACGCAACGCGAAGAACCUUACCAGGGCUUGACAUCCCCUGACCGCGUAUGAAAGUACGUUUUCACCCUCGGGUGACAGGGAGACAGGUGGUGCAUGGUUGUCGUCAGCUCGUGUCGUGAGAUGUUGGGUUAAGUCCCGCAACGAGCGCAACCCCUACGUUUAGUUGCUAACGCGUGAAGGCGAGCACUCUAGACGAACUGCCGUUGACAAAACGGAGGAAGGUGGGAUGACGUCAAAUCAUCAUGCCCCUUAUGUUCUGGGCUACACACGUGCUACAAUGGCCGGUACAGACGGACGCAAAGCCGCGAGGUGGAGCAAAUCCUAAAAAGCCGGUCUCAGUUCGGAUUGCAGGCUGCAAUUCGCCUGCAUGAAGUCGGAAUCGCUAGUAAUCGCAGGUCAGCAUACUGCGGUGAAUACGUUCCCGGGCCUU
Molecule: ribosomal RNA, 460 nt
Filed under: uncultured Bacillus sp.
Lineage: Bacteria; Bacillati; Bacillota; Bacilli; Caryophanales; Bacillaceae
Also listed under: 1 other name
Description: bacterial SSU rRNA
Rfam family: Bacterial small subunit ribosomal RNA
Source: RNAcentral